Molecule: small RNA, 121 nt
Filed under: Marmota monax (woodchuck)
Lineage: Eukaryota; Metazoa; Chordata; Mammalia; Rodentia; Sciuridae
Source: RNAcentral
GCCGGGCGCGGUGGCACCCGCCUGUAAUCCCAGCAACUUCGGAGGCUGAGGCCGGGGGGAUCCAGGUUUGAGGCCAACGAUUUAGCGAGGCCCUAAGCAACUCAGCAAGACCCUGUCUCAA